AGAGUUUGAUCCUGGCUCAGAUUGAACGCUGGCGGCGUGCCUAACACAUGCAAGUCGAGCGGUAGCAGGUGUAGCAAUACAUGCUGACGAGCGGCGAACGGGUGAGUAAUGCUUCGGAAUCUACCCACGGGUGGGGAAUAACCAACCGAAAGGUUGGCUAAUACCGCAUAAGUCCUACGGGGGAAAGCGGGGGAUCGAAAGACCCCGCGCCGGUGGAUGAGCCGAAGCCGGAUUAGCUAGUUGGUAGGGUAAUGGCCUACCAAGGCGACGAUCCGUAGCUGGUCUGAGAGGACGACCAGCCACACUGGGACUGAGACACGGCCCAGACUCCUACGGGAGGCAGCAGUGGGGAAUAUUGGACAAUGGGGGAAACCCUGAUCCAGCGACGCCGCGUGUGUGAAGAAGGCCUGCGGGUUGUAAAGCACUUUUAGUGGGGAUGAAAAGCCUGGAGCUAAUACCUCCGGGUCUUGACCUAACCCACAGAAAAAGCACCGGCUAACUCUGUGCCAGCAGCCGCGGUAAUACAGAGGGUGCGAGCGUUAAUCGGAAUUACUGGGCGUAAAGCGUGCGUAGACGGUCGUGCAAGUCGGGUGUGAAAGCCCCGGGCUCAACCUGGGAAUUGCAUUCGAGACUGCUCGGCUAGGGUGCGGAAGAGGGAAGCGGAAUUUCCGGUGUAGCGGUGAAAUGCGUAGAUAUCGGAAGGAACACCAGUGGCGAAAGCGGCUUCCUGGUCCGACACCGACGUUCAGGCACGAAAGCGUGGGGAGCAACAGGAUUAGAUACCCUGGUAGUCCACGCCAUAAACGAUGAGAAUUAGACGUUGGUGGGGUUAGCCCUCCAGUUGUCGCAGCUACGCGUUAAGUUCUCCGCCUGGGGAGUACGGGCGCAAGGUUGAAACUCAAAGGAAUGGACGGGGACCCCGCAACAACGGUGGAGCAUGUGAUUAACUCGAAUGCAAGCGAAAAACCUUACCUGGGCCUUGACAUCCGGGAACCCUG
This 998-nucleotide ribosomal RNA is filed under the name uncultured bacterium. RNAcentral describes it as "bacterial SSU rRNA". It matches the Rfam family "Bacterial small subunit ribosomal RNA", at positions 8 to 999 of the family's 1533-position model. The record is from RNAcentral.